Molecule: ribosomal RNA, 305 nt
Filed under: uncultured bacterium
Lineage: Bacteria
Description: bacterial SSU rRNA
Rfam family: Bacterial small subunit ribosomal RNA
Source: RNAcentral
CGUUACCUACGGGAGGCAGCAGUAGGGAAUCUUCCACAAUGGGCGAAAGCCUGAUGGAGCAACGCCGCGUGGGUGAAGAAGGUUUUCGGAUUGUAAAGCUCUGUUAGCAGGGAAGAGGAAGGACGGUACCUGCAGAGGAAGCCACGGCUAACUACGUGCCAGCAGCCGCGGUAAUACGUAGGUGGCAAGCGUUGUUCGGAAUAACUGGGCGUAAAGGAUGCGUAGGCGGUUAAACAAGUUAUAUGUUAAAUAUAUAGGCUUAACCUGUAGAAAGCAUAUAAAACUGCUUAACUAGAGUGCGGGAG